UUAAGUUCAGCGGGUAAUCCUACCUGAUUUGAGGUCAGAUUGUCAAAUGUUGUCUGUGAAGACGAUUAGAAGCGAAGCCUCAACAUGUCACUUCUCAAUGGCGUAGAUAAUUAUCACACCAUAGAUUAGCGGCAAAAGCUCUGCUAAUGCAUUUAAGGAUAGCCGACUCAGGAAGCCCGCAAACCCCAUGAUCCAAGCCA
RNAcentral lists this unclassified non-coding RNA (200 nucleotides) under Agaricales sp. RNAcentral describes it as "partial internal transcribed spacer 2". Lineage: Eukaryota; Fungi; Basidiomycota; Agaricomycetes; Agaricales. The record is from RNAcentral.